RNAcentral lists this ribosomal RNA (584 nucleotides) under uncultured bacterium. RNAcentral's name for it is "partial 16S ribosomal RNA". It matches the Rfam family "Bacterial small subunit ribosomal RNA", at positions 355 to 937 of the family's 1533-position model. The record is from RNAcentral.
UGGGGAAUUUUGGACAAUGGGCGAAAGCCUGAUCCAGCAAUGCCGCGUGUGUGAAGAAGGCCUUCGGGUUGUAAAGCACUUUUGUCCGGAAAGAAAUCCUCUGGGUUAAUACCUCGGGGGGAUGACGGUACCGGAAGAAUAAGCACCGGCUAACUACGUGCCAGCAGCCGCGGUAAUACGUAAGGUGCAAGCGUUAAUCGGAAUUACUGGGCGUAAAGCGUGCGCAGGCGGUUUUGUAAGACGGAUGUGAAAUCCCCGGGCUUAACCUGGGAACUGCAUUCGUGACUGCAAGGCUAGAGUAUGGCAGAGGGGGGUAGAAUUCCACGUGUAGCAGUGAAAUGCGUAGAGAUGUGGAGGAAUACCGAUGGCGAAGGCAGCCCCCUGGGCCAAUACUGACGCUCAUGCACGAAAGCGUGGGGAGCAAACAGGAUUAGAUACCCUGGUAGUCCACGCCCUAAACGAUGUCAACUAGUUGUUGGGGAUUCAUUUCCUUAGUAACGUAGCUAACGCGUGAAGUUGACCGCCUGGGGAGUACGGUCGCAAGAUUAAAACUCAAAGGAAUUGACGGGGUCAUAGCUGUUUCC